GCGCACGCUGGCGGCAGGCUUAACACAUGCAAGUCGAGCGGGCAUCCUUGUGGUGUCAGCGGCAGACGGGUGAGUAACGCGUGGGAACGUGCCCUUCGGUUCGGAAUAACUCAGGGAAACUUGAGCUAAUACCGGAUACGUGCGAGAGCAGAAAGGUUUAUCUGCCGAAGGAUCGGCCCGCGCCUGAUUAGCUAGUUGGUGAGGUUAUGGCUCACCAAGGCGACGAUCAGUAGCUGGUCUGAGAGGAUGAUCAGCCACACUGGGACUGAGACACGGCCCAGACUCCUACGGGAGGCAGCAGUGGGGAAUAUUGGACAAUGGGGGCAACCCUGAUCCAGCCAUGCCGCGUGAGUGAUGACGGCCUUAGGGUUGUAAAGCUCUUUUCUCCGGGACGAUAAUGACGGUACCGGAGGAAUAAGCCCCGGCUAACUUCGUG
RNAcentral lists this ribosomal RNA (436 nucleotides) under uncultured bacterium. Its description in RNAcentral is "partial 16S ribosomal RNA". It matches the Rfam family "Bacterial small subunit ribosomal RNA", at positions 29 to 507 of the family's 1533-position model. The record is from RNAcentral.